RNAcentral lists this ribosomal RNA (502 nucleotides) under uncultured bacterium. RNAcentral describes it as "bacterial SSU rRNA". It matches the Rfam family "Bacterial small subunit ribosomal RNA", at positions 8 to 508 of the family's 1533-position model. The record is from RNAcentral.
AGAGUUUGAUCCUGGCUCAGAACGAACGCUGGCGGCGUGCUUAACACAUGCAAGUCGAGUGCGUAGCUCCUGUAGCAAUACAGGGGUGGGCGCACGGCGCACGGGUGUGUAACACGUGGGCAAUCUGCCCUCCGAUGGGGAAUAACCCCGCGAAAGCGGGGCUAAUUCCGCAUAACAUUCCCUGGACAUCGGUUCGGGGACUCAAAGCCGUAAGGCGUCGGAGGAGGAGCCCGCGCCCGAUUAGCUAGUUGGUAGGGUAACGGCCUACCAAGGCAAUGAUCGGUAGCUGGUCUGAGAGGAUGGCCAGCCACACUGGAACUGAGACACGGUCCAGACUCCUACGGGAGGCAGCAGUGGGGAAUCUUGCGCAAUGGGCGAAAGCCUGACGCAGCGACGCCGCGUGGGGGAUGAAGCUUCUCGGAGUGUAAACCCCUUUCGACUGGGACGAAUGCCCGCAAGGGAGUGACGGUACCAGUAGAAGAAGCCCCGGCUAACUACGUGC